This 404-nucleotide ribosomal RNA is filed under the name Fusobacteriota bacterium. Its description in RNAcentral is "Fusobacteria bacterium partial 16S ribosomal RNA". It matches the Rfam family "Bacterial small subunit ribosomal RNA", at positions 355 to 776 of the family's 1533-position model. Lineage: Bacteria; Fusobacteriati; Fusobacteriota. The record is from RNAcentral.
UGGGGAAUAUUGCACAAUGGAGGGAACUCUGAUGCAGCGACGCCGCGUGAGUGAUGAAGGAAUUCGUUUCGUAAAACUCUGCUCUAUGGGAAGAAAAGGACUGUACCAUAGGAGAAAGCUCCGGCUAAAUACGUGCCAGCAGCCGCGGUAAUACGUAUGGAGCGAGCGUUGUCCGGAAUUAUUGGGCGUAAAGGGUGCGCAGGCGGCUUUACAAGUUGGAUGUGAAAUAUUGUGGCUCAACCACAAACGUGCAUCCAAAACUGCAAAGCUUGAGUUAAGGAGAGGUAAGUGGAAUUCCUGGUGUAGCGGUGGAAUGCGUAGAUAUCAGGAGGAAUACCGGUGGCGAAGGCGACUUACUGGACUUAAACUGACGCUCAGGCACGAAAGCGUGGGGAGCAAACAGG